UAUAUUCGAAAAGUAAACGUCUAAGUAUUACUUAGAAAGUAAAUAUACCGUAUUUCAACUUUUCAUUUAUUUCAGAUGUAUAAUAGAAUAUUUGAAAGACAAGAUUUGCAUUCUUGUUACGCAUCAAAUACACUUUUUAAACUCUGCAAGUAAAAUUUUACUGUUAAAUAAGGGAAAAUGUGAGUUUGUUGGCAAUUACAAUCAGAUGAAAAACUCUAAAAUGCUUAAAGGAAUUUUGUCAAAGAAAGAAAUAGCUGAAAAUAGCAAGGACUUAAAAAAUGUACUUUUCAAUGGUGAUGAAAUAAUUGAAACUACUGAAUCUGAUUUGAUUGAUGACAUUGAAGAUAAUAAUAACAGCAACAAAAAAUUUCAAGAAAACAAAUUACCACGAGAUGAAGGAGGAG
Centruroides sculpturatus (bark scorpion) is the source of this 404-nucleotide long non-coding RNA. RefSeq lists it as uncharacterized. The transcript is spliced from 3 exons. The record is from RefSeq and is a predicted model, not a curated record. NCBI's taxonomy places the organism in Eukaryota, Metazoa, Arthropoda, Arachnida, Scorpiones, Buthidae.